RNAcentral lists this transfer RNA (64 nucleotides) under Anodonta cygnea. RNAcentral describes it as "tRNA-Glu". The record is from RNAcentral. Lineage: Eukaryota; Metazoa; Mollusca; Bivalvia; Unionida; Unionidae.
GCUAAUUAAGUGUUUUACUGCACAUUGAUUUUUCACGUCAAAGGAGCACGCAGUGCAUUUAGCU